UCCUGGCUCAGAUUGAACGCUGGCGGCAUGCCUUACACAUGCAAGUCGAACGGCAGCACGGGUGCUUGCACCUGGUGGCGAGUGGCGAACGGGUGAGUAAUACAUCGGAACAUGUCCUGUAGUGGGGGAUAGCCCGGCGAAAGCCGGAUUAAUACCGCAUACGAUCCAUGGAUGAAAGCGGGGGACCUUCGGGCCUCGCGCUAUAGGGUUGGCCGAUGGCUGAUUAGCUAGUUGGUGGGGUAAAGGCCUACCAAGGCGACGAUCAGUAGCUGGUCUGAGAGGACGACCAGCCACACUGGGACUGAGACACGGCCCAGACUCCUACGGGAGGCAGCAGUGGGGAAUUUUGGACAAUGGGCGAAAGCCUGAUCCAGCAAUGCCGCGUGUGUGAAGAAGGCCUUCGGGUUGUAAAGCACUUUUGUCCGGAAAGAAAUCCUUGGCUCUAAUACAGUCGGGGGAUGACGGUACCGAA
This 472-nucleotide ribosomal RNA is filed under the name Burkholderia cenocepacia. RNAcentral describes it as "bacterial SSU rRNA". It matches the Rfam family "Bacterial small subunit ribosomal RNA", at positions 17 to 482 of the family's 1533-position model. Lineage: Bacteria; Pseudomonadati; Pseudomonadota; Betaproteobacteria; Burkholderiales; Burkholderiaceae. The record is from RNAcentral.